This 308-nucleotide long non-coding RNA is filed under the name Elaeis guineensis (African oil palm). Its description in RNAcentral is "long non-coding RNA (EGUI_LNC057157)". Lineage: Eukaryota; Viridiplantae; Streptophyta; Magnoliopsida; Arecales; Arecaceae. The record is from RNAcentral.
AAGUUGACUCCGCCUGGACUCCUACGGGAGCCGGGCUCCGUCAUCAACCUCGACUGCUGGUAAGCUGUCUGGACUCCUAUGGGAGCCGACCUUCGCCUUUAACUUUGAUUGCAGGAAGACUCCGCUCAGACUCCCACGGGAGCCGGGCUCCACCCACUACCCCAACCGCAAGGAGGACUCCGCCCGGAUCCCUACGUGGGGUCAGACUCCGACCACGGCCGAACUUUAGCCGACAGGUCUGCACUCCCAGGCCGUAAUCACGACCACGAUUCUGCUACACUUCCUGCGAUGGAUUCCGCGCAGCUCCA